This 380-nucleotide ribosomal RNA is filed under the name uncultured eukaryote. Its description in RNAcentral is "SSU rRNA". It matches the Rfam family "Eukaryotic small subunit ribosomal RNA", at positions 587 to 972 of the family's 1831-position model. The record is from RNAcentral.
AGCUCCAAUAGCGUAUAUUAAAGUUGUUGCAGUUAAAACGCUCGUAGUCGGAUUUCGGGGCGGGGCGGCCGGUCUGCCGAUGGGUACGCACUGGUCGCCGCGCUCUUCUUGCCGGAGGCGCGGCCUACUCUUCACUGAGCGGGCCGUGAACUCGGCACGUUUACUUUGAAAAAUCAGAGUGUUUCAAGCAGGCAGCUCGCUCUUGCAUGGAUUAGCAUGGGAUAAUAAAAUAGGACUUUGGUGCUAUUUUGUUGGUUUCGAACACCAGAGUAAUGAUUAACAGGGACAGUCAGGGGCACUCGUAUUCCGCCGAGAGAGGUGAAAUUCUUAGACCAGCGGAAGACGAACAACUGCGAAAGCAUUUGCCAGGGAUGUUUUCA